This 408-nucleotide ribosomal RNA is filed under the name uncultured bacterium. RNAcentral's name for it is "partial 16S ribosomal RNA". It matches the Rfam family "Bacterial small subunit ribosomal RNA", at positions 28 to 526 of the family's 1533-position model. The record is from RNAcentral.
GACGAACGCUGGCGGCGUGCUUAACACAUGCAAGUCGAACGAAGUGGCGGACGGGUGAGUAACGCGUAAUCAACCUGCCCUUCGGAGGGGGACACCAGUUGGAAACGACUGCUAAUACGCAAUACUGAAGGAGGGGAUUGCGUGUGAUUGGCUAGUUGGUGGGGUAACGGCCUACCAAGGCGAUGAUCAGUCGCCGGGCGGGGAGGAUGAACGGCCAAAUCGGGACUGGGAACAGGCCCAGACUCCCACGGGGGGCAGCAGGGGGGAAAUUUCCGAAAUGGACGGAAGUCUGACGGAGCAACGCCGCGGGAGUGGUGACGGCCUUCGGGGUGUAAAGCUCUGUUAAUCGGGACGCGGUACCGGAAGAGAAAGCCACGGCUAACUACGUGCCAGCAGCCGCGGUAAUAC